CAGCAGCCACGGUAAAACGUAGGUGGCAAGCGUUGUCCGGAAUUAUUGGGCGUAAAGGGCUCGCAGGCGGUUUCUUAAGUCUGAUGUGAAAGCCCCCGGCUCAACCGGGGAGGGUCAUUGGAAACUGGGAAACUUGAGUGCAGAAGAGGAGAGUGGAAUUCCACGUGUAGCGGUGAAAUGCGUAGAGAUGUGGAGGAACACCAGUGGCGAAGGCGACUCUCUGGUCUGUAACUGACGCUGAGGAGCGAAAGCGUGGGGGGCGAACAGGAUUAGAUACCCGCGUAGUCCCUGUCUCUUAUAU
This 301-nucleotide ribosomal RNA is filed under the name uncultured bacterium. Its description in RNAcentral is "partial 16S ribosomal RNA". It matches the Rfam family "Bacterial small subunit ribosomal RNA", at positions 509 to 809 of the family's 1533-position model. The record is from RNAcentral.